CACCCCUGCCCUCAGCCUCCUUCAAAGUGGCCGCUGGGGCUGGGGUCUGUCUUUGCAGAGGUGCCAGGCCACAUGCCCUGCCCACCUCUACCAGCUAUGCCGCCUCUGAAGUUCCUCCAGCGGCACUGAGGAGGGGCCCUGUGGUCGAGGGUGCAGUUAAACGAGGCCCGACCGGGUAGUUGAGCUCAGCUUGGCUGUACUUGUCUUCCUUGGACCUGCUGGGCACCCCCAGACUGUGACUUCAUCCUGGACGAAGGCCAGGUCUGACUCAUCUCGGGGUCCCCAGCCCCGGCCCAGGGCCUACAGAGAAGCUGGCACCAGGAAAGGUGCGUGGAGUGUGUGGGAGAAUCAGUGAUAAAUGAUCACAGGGAGCAGAGUCCUGGAGUUUUCAAGACGGUUCUGAUUUCGGUUUCUGUCCAGUUGCUCCCAUAAGAAGCCAGCUGUGGCCAGACCACAUGUCUCACCUGCUGGCUUAGAAAGCACAGUCUCCAUCUACAGGAGAGGCAUGGGACCUGGGGUGGUGGUGUUAUAUCCUGAUGCUCCAGUUCUGCCUCUGCCCCAGGGGCUCCCUGCUCCCUCCAGUCCCCAAGCCUCAGUCCCAAAUCUGUGACGGGGUCUGGGGAGACUGGGAAGUGUCUGAGGGUCCCUGCCAUGCAGCCCUCUCACCCUCACUUGUCUUCUCUGAGCUGCCUCUGUGCCUCACGCUCGAGCGCCUUUGGCUCUGGGAGGCGAGACUGACAGCAGCAGAGGUGAAACCCCGGGUGCAUUAAUGGAGCCCGUGUUUACCCAGGCUGGGCCCGUAAAAUGCCUCAAGCGGAACUGAGCUCGGCUUGCAGCUCCCGGGCAUUGUCCGUUACGGCUGUUGAACCUUGGAAUGGACCACCCGGGUGGGCAUCUCAUUCCCUUGACACCUUGGAAAACUCCAAAGGGAAGCUUGGGAAUGCCUUGAGGCAGAGG
Molecule: long non-coding RNA, 957 nt
Filed under: Homo sapiens (human)
Lineage: Eukaryota; Metazoa; Chordata; Mammalia; Primates; Hominidae
Description: HSALNT0363883
Source: RNAcentral